GCUAGCAGGGAAUCCUGGUAAUUUUGAACAAUUUCAGUUCUUUUCUUCUCCAUUGCCUGUUCCUUGCCUAGUUAUGAAUAAAACAAAAGGUGAACUUUGGUUUAAUAUUAGAAACCAACCAGUCAAACUAAUUUUUAUGUCCAGGCAGACCUACACUAAAACAGUCGAGCCUGCAUUUAAUUAGACAUUUUUAUUCAGUUCCACCUUCUUGUUUUGUGUUUCAAAAUUUACCAAACAGCUAACUCAUAACCACACGAAGCCUACAUUUAAUACCAUACACAUGUAUGACUAUGAGAACGUGUUUUCGAUAGAGUGGAAAAAUCUAUCCCAAGUUACAUUUAUUCAAAAGAAAAUUUAAUUCUAAAAACGUUAAGAUCGAAACAUGGCUGCUGUCACGUGGCUUACAGUAGCAAAUAAGAAAAGAGUGAUAGGUCACAGAUCCAGAAAGUUUGGGGUUAUUUGACACCCUAUCGUUAAUUAGUAUGAAAAUAUAGAGGGCGUCUUAAAACCAAGAUGGCGAAGUAGCCACUUUUCACUACUUUUUGUAAAACAUGCGAUCACAAACUGGUCUAGGCCUAGAGUAAGUUGCUAAUUUUCGACCACUUAGGCCUAGGUUUUCGACCCCCCCCCAUUUCCCGACCCCUAAAUUUAAUAACGAUUUUUUAAUUAUCCAUUUCUAUGUCACUGGUAAAAUUAUAUCCCUUUACGAUGUAACAGCGUGAAGCACUGACCCUCAAACAAAGCUGUCCGCAAAACAACUUUUUAUUUUUUUAUGAAUUUGUAGUUGGAAGGUAUGAGUUAGCCUCGGCCUAGCCUAUAUAUUUAUGCAUCUGUUAAAAUUAGAUUCCUGUAAGUCAUUGUCCAUAAGUCCGAAAAUUAUGUUGUUUUAAUCAUUUAGGCCUAGGCCGAACAUUAGCGACUAGGUCUAGGUCUAAAUUUUGUAUACUUUUAUUUUAGUUAAAAGGAUAAUUUACAGUCAAUUAGGCCUAGCUGGCUAGGUCCUAGGCCUUUAAAAUUAACUAUUGUCUAACAUUUCUAUUUUAUUGUUAUGUGAAUAAAUUUUUAAUUCCAAGAAACGAAAAUAAACACUGACUGUCGAAAACUAACACUCAAAAACUAGCCUAUAGAGGGGUGUCAAAAACUAGCGUAAAAUCGAUAAAAGGAUGAUUACAUUUUUAUAGGCAGGAUUCAAUUUGAUUUUAUAAAGUUUUAGUUGAAAGGUACGUAUGAUGAGUUACAUGCAUCUGUUAAAAUUAGAUCCUGUGAUUCUAUUGUCCAAAAGUCAGAAAAUUACGAUAUUUUUAGUACUAGGCCCAGGCCUAGUAGGCUAGGCCUAUACGGAAAAUCGGGCAGUCCAAAACUUACCAAAAUCUAAUGCAGUGGCUGGUGACAUUUCUAAUUCUUCCCACGGGAAAUCGAAAACACUAUUUACAGCACUUUUUAGGUUGUUGUUGCUGCGAGAAACUUUAUUUGUUUGCAAGAUUUGGUAACAGGGAUUACGUCCCAGGUGGGUGGCGCCUCGAUCCACUUAAUAAGAACAAAUAACGUUCUCAUCAUGUACCAAUUUGCUGUAUAUAAUGUGACGACGAUGCAACAACAUACAAUAGGUCCACCUCAAACUAAAGUACUUCAUCAUCUGCUGAGGAGGAAAGCCCGCGGUAUCAUCCGGUUUCAACUGGUUGUGUGUGCCAAUCAUCACGCUAGUCCUCUUAUCUGAUUGGUUGAAAGUAUUAAGCGUCAUAGUUUUUGUUGUCCUCCGGCCGGCGGCAAUUGCCACUAAACUUUGAACCUAGGCUAGGCAAGACUUUUUACCUUGAUUUUAAUUCGCGAACCUUUUUUUGUUAAUAAAGACAGUCAAGAGGAAAGCGGAGAAAUCAAAUAAAAUAUUGAUUGUUUAGAAAAAUAAUUUUUCAAACAAUUCUAGGUUAUAAAUAAAAUAAAAUUUUAUUAAUGAAUUAAACAAUGUAGGCCUGGUGAUGACAUAUAAUUGUAAAUUAAUCCUGCUAGGCCUGGUAUGAUGAUAGGCCUUUCCUUUCUAUGACAGCCUCGUCUACGCCUAGGCCUAAGUAAUAAUUCCAUUUUUUAGCUGAUAGGUAGCCUACACUAAACUUUCUAAAAAUUAUAUUUUUUUUUCAAAUAUUAGAAACAACCAUUCUUGGCGGUCGAUAGUUCGUUAAACAAUGUAUAUUCUUAUUAAUAUUAAAAAAUAUCAUUUGCAAAAAAAAAAAAUAUCAGAGGGUGGAGAUUGCAUGUGGUGUGGUGUGGGUUGAAAUCAUUAUUAUCAAAAAGCAUAGCGCGGUGUUAUUUAUGAAUAAACCAGAAUGUCUUCCUGUUUGAAGAGACAACAUUUGAAAUGUAUGUUAUAUGAUGACAUUAAAGCCAAGAAAAAAGUAGUAAGAUCUUCUAGGCCUAGUCCUACAACAACUGCUGAAUUAUCUGUUGAAGAAGACUGAAACUGAAGAUGAAUAUUAUUGGCCUCGUAGCAGUAGGCCAAAAAGGCAUAAGCCUAAUCUUAGGCCUACUCUACUACGGGUAGGCCUACUCAUGGGCUGCCUCCUAGUCCUUAGUAGUACUAGUACUAUAACUAGGCCUAAUACUAUAGUAGUAUGCCUCGGCCUAUUUCUACCAAUAUGCGUCGGCGCAGUAAACAUCCUCCCCGGCCAAGGCCUGGUGCUACUAUUAUUAGUGACAGUGAUUCUCCUAGUAGUAGUACUAGGCCUAGGUCUGAUGCCUUGAAUGCUAUAUUAACUAAGCAUUGGCCUAGUUCUAGUACUGCUAGUAGUAAGAGUAAUACCACCUUAAGCUAUAUGCAUAAUGAUGAUACCAAGCCUCCAUCAGAUGAUAUAAGCCUAGGCCUACAUAGGGCUACCACCAAUGCAAGUGGCAGUACUACUUCUUGUAGUAGUAGGCCUCCCCGUAAUAUUCUGAAUGUCAACGAUAGAAAACAUUUUGACGAAGACCAUUUCUGUGAAUUGGAAAAUGAACCAAUAAAGAAUGUGUUAUGUGAUACCCUGAAUUGCGAAAGUGAAGUAAACGAUUAUCAUUUUAAUGAGGGCUCCACAAAGUCAAGUGCACAAUCUUCGGAAAAUCAAUAUUUGCAAUUCCAGAGUGCAGACAUUGACAAUAUUGAGGAUUGUGAAAACCUUCAACAAGAUGUUAAUGAAUUGGAUCAUCAGUUGUACAAUGGCAGUUCUAUUACAAGAAGAGAGAGCCUGCUACUAAUAUUUUCCCACAUAAUCAGGCUUAAUACAAGUGGAUCUGCACUAAAUAGCUUGUUAAAUUUAAUCCAAUUUCAUCUGCCAGACAAUACAUACUUUCCAGCUAGUAAAUACCUGUUUGAGAAACAUUUUAAUGGUACAGGUGAGACAAUUCAAUAUCACGCAUUUUGCCCUCAAUGUAUAUGUUACAUUGGGCAAAAGAACAUGGAUUGUAGUAAUUGUGGAAAGGAAGUGUUGUUGGAGGAGUGCUUAAAAAGUGGCAACUAUUUCAUUAUAUUUGACAUCAAAGAGCAACUUCUCAAUAUUUUGAAUGAUGCAGACACAGCGAAACACCUUUGGAUUGGUACCAAACGCAAGUCAUGUGAUUCCUUCAGGCAAACUAUAUCGGUAAUUACCCCUUGGAAAUGAUGAUAUAACAGUGUCAUGAAAUACUGAUGGUGUUAAAGGUGUUUAACUCAUCAAAAUACAGAAUUUGGCCUUUGCAGAUGAUGGUCAAUGAACUACCUUAUCACCUAAAAAGAAAAAAUAUCUUCCUUGCCGGGCUCUGGUUUGGACGCUUGAAGCCAGACAUGAAAACUUUUUUGAAGCCCAUGGUAUCAGCAAUGAACAAACUAUCAGUGGAUGGCCUUGAAUGGGCAGAUGUAAAUGGCAAUCAUAAAACAAAGCAUGGCUUUGCAACCGGAAAAUCGUGCCAGACUACUCCUGCAACAGCGUACAAUCACUGGUCUGGGGUUCUUGAUGUCAGAUGCCCUCCUCCAAUUGAUGCCAUAUGCCUCGAUUUUAGCAAGGUAUUUGACCUUAUAAGCCAUCAAAUUCUGACAGAGAAGCUUCAUCAGUACGGGGUCUGUGGCUCUGUCUUGAAAUGAAUGUCGUCUUUUCUUUCCAAUCGUUACCAAAAAGUCAAUUUCAGGGGGGUUUCUUCUAACACUUGCUCCGUUUCUUCUGGGGUUCCGCAAGGUAUUGUUUUAGGCCCAAUUCUCUUUUAAUAUUUUUGUUCUUGCUUCAUCUACUAUUUUGCAAUAUGCUGACGACACCCUGAUUUAUAGAGUCAUAAAAUCUCCUGCGGAUGGAGCUUCUCUGCAAAACGAUCUCAACAAUGUAUACCCAUGGAGUGUUGAAAAAAAGUUGCACUUAAAUCCAAGCAAGUGUAGCACCAUGCGGAUUACUAGAUCUAGCAAACAUUCCAAUAAUGAAAUUGAGUAUUUUUUAGGUUCUGAGGGUAUCAAAAUGGUGGACUCUUUUAAAUACAUUGGUAUUAUUAUCUCAUCUGAUCUUAGUUGGGAUAAACAUGUAUCAUCUAUCAAACAAACUUACUGGAUUUAUCAGAAGGAUUGUCCGAUGUAGAAAUCAUAAUGCCAUUAUAAAAUUAUUUAAAACUAUUGUCCGACCAAUUAUUGAGUAUGAUAUCCCAUCAUGGCUUCCUCACCAAAAGGGUCAUAUCUCCUCACUCGAGAAAAUCCAACGAAGGAUUACUCGUUCUUGUUUUCAUCCCUCCUUGAAUUUAUCAUAUACGCAAAGACUUGGUAUCCUUGGUUUAUGUUCUGUUGAGGAUCGUUUUAAGCUUCUCUCUAUUUCAUUUGUCACGAAGUGCAUUUAUGGUAAAUAUAAGUUUCCAAUCUUCAACCUUAUUAAAAUUAAUCUUAGACGUUAUAAUUUAAGUGAUUUCAAAUUUAUUUAUAAUUUUGCCAGGACUUAUUGUUUCAAAAACUCUAUUUGUAAUUAUUUUCCACAUCUUUGGAAUGAUUUGCCUACUAAUGUGCUUGAUAAACUUAUUUUAAAUUUUGUAUAUUUUUAUAAAGCAUUGAAAGAUUAUUUUAAGGGCUGAUUUUGAUAUUUAUAUUCAUAUAAAUUUAUAUAUUUUGUGUCUGUCUGUCUGUUUUUUUUUUGUUAGGAAAUCCACUUGACACUUGAUUUAGUUCUCCUUGUGGAUUUCCUGUCUCUUCGUCUUUUUUGUGUAUGAUAUUUUAUGUGAAUUGUAUUUUUUUGAGACAAAUAAAUGAAAUGAAAUAGAAAACCUGCCUGCCAACCUGACCAGAACUGCUCAUUUGACUGCUGAACUUUUUAACAAACACUUUGCUAAGAUAUGCCAGAAAUUUCCAGCACUUGACUAUAGUUCAUUACCAGCAUACUGACCUGCUGAGUCUCCUCCCAACUAUUUAUAAAGGUCAGGUUCUAAAACAACUAAAUAAGCUUGACACGAGUAAAUCCACACACCCAUCUGAUAUACCUUUAAGGCUAAUUAAAGAGUUUGCUCCCGAGUUAACUGUUCCCUUAUGUAUGCUUUUUAAUUUAGCUAUAAGACAGGGUGUUUUCCCCGAGUCCUGGAAAACUGCUACGUUGGUACCAAUACCUAAGGUUCCAAAGGUGUCCACAAUAGAUGACUUUCGACCUACUGUAUAGCCCUUACCGAUUUUUG
Anneissia japonica is the source of this 5634-nucleotide RNA transcript. RefSeq lists it as uncharacterized. The transcript has 6 exons. NCBI's taxonomy places the organism in Eukaryota, Metazoa, Echinodermata, Crinoidea, Comatulida, Comatulidae. The record is from RefSeq and is a predicted model, not a curated record.